AAGACCCAGACAACUAGGUAAGGAACCAGGGAAGUUCCUUACUAAGACCUAGACAACCAGGUGAGGGGAGUUCCUUACUAAGACCUAGACAACCAGGUGAGGGGAGUUCCUUACUAAGACCUAGACAACCAGGUGAGGGGAGUUCCUUACUAAGACCUAGACAACCAGGUGAGGGGAGUUCCUUACUAAGACCUAGACAACCAGGUGAGGGGAGUUCCUUACUAAGACCCAGACAACCAGGUGAGGGGAAUUCUUUACUAAGACCUACCAGGUGAGGGGUGUUCCUUACUAAGACCUAGACAACAAGGUGAGGGGAGAUCUUUACUAAGACCCAGACAACCAGGUGAGGGGAGUUAUUUACUAAGACCCAGACAACCAGGUGAGGGGAGUUAUUUACUAAGACCCAGACAACCAGGUGAGGGGAGUUCCUUACUAAGACCUAGACAACCAGGUGAGGGGAGUUCCUUACCUAGACCUACCAGGUGAGGGGAGUUCUUUACUAAUUAGAGACCUUAAUUCAUCGAGUACAAGCCCCCCAGGAUCGACUUUGUGAAACCCUGCGCUAGAGUCCAAUGUCACCUCUAUUAGCAAUGACUAACCAACCAGCUGACGCUUUGUCCUACUUCUGAGUGAGAAUGAGUCACCUGUGCUCCCAAAACAGACCACUAGAUGGCAGUAAAUGUCCCUAUAUUCAUACCUUGCUUUAUUGUUUGCACUGUAGGGUACUAAGGGGUAACUGCCCCCCCCCACCCCCCUGUAAUUCCACAAGAUGUCACCAAAUUAUUUCCCCACCACUUCCCUUGCUGCCACUGCUCUUGCUCAACAAAAAUGUCCUCAAUGACAUCACAACCUUUGGAGAUAUUUCAACAAAACUAUUUUGUGGUAAAUUGAUCAAGUUGUAGAUAUAUUCCAAUGAAGUGAGAUCUAUACUUGUUUUUUAAAAUAUACAAGUAGGAAAGCCUUAAGCUAAAUAAUACUCUUGUUUAGAGAGAACAAUGUCUAUAAUUUUUUUGUAAACUAGUAAUAUGUUGGGUGAGUGUGUUGGGCACCCCCCCCCAACACACACACUUGGUUUAUUUUUAGGUUUAUGUUUAUGAAUGUGUUUUUACCUGUCAUUUAGACAAUGACUACCCUAGUUAGCACUAGUUUAUGCUAACUUGCUAGCUAGCAACUUCACUAGCAGUAAAUGCUAGCCAGCGAUCUAGUUAGCAUAAGCUGCUAUGGGUACUAGGUAGCAACCUUAC
Molecule: long non-coding RNA, 1244 nt
Organism: Oncorhynchus tshawytscha (Chinook salmon)
Lineage: Eukaryota; Metazoa; Chordata; Actinopteri; Salmoniformes; Salmonidae
Source: Ensembl